Molecule: long non-coding RNA, 1079 nt
Organism: Quercus robur (English oak)
Lineage: Eukaryota; Viridiplantae; Streptophyta; Magnoliopsida; Fagales; Fagaceae
Exons: 5
Source: RefSeq, a predicted model, not a curated record
CUCCUAUCAAUUCAGAUUCUCUGCACUGGUUUUGCUUUGUUUCCUUUGUUGAUGUUCUGCAGAUUCUCUCCACACUUGUUGUAACUCUCUUCUUCUUCUUCUUCUUCUUCUUCUUCUUUGUUUGCACAGUAGCUUGGUAAACUAAGGUGAAACUGAAAGAGACAGAGGGGAAAAGGAGAGAGAGAGAAGGAAAAAUAAUGUUAUAAAAAUUGUAUUUAAAUUAAGUUGUUAUGUUCUGACCCUUAGAUUGAUUAGUAGCCACGUGUCAUUCAUCUAAAAUAAAAAUGGAGAUAACUGGAGACUUAAAAACGGGAGAGGAGCCGCUCCCGUUUAUACCAUGAUCUUAUUUAAAUUUAAUGGAAUCAGAAGCAAUAGAAUUAGAGCCGAGUAAAAGCAGGUUGAUUGAAAGUGGGACCACAAACACUCUUUUGUUUAUCACGUGUGUGGCUGGCAGUCAAGUAAUAAUAAUAAAAGCCUAAAAAUUGCGUAGGUUAGAUUAGAGAGCAGAGGUUGUCGUUUGUCGAACCAAAAAAAGAAAAGAAAAGAAAAGAAAAGAAAUCUAUCUUCCUGGCUGCAGCCUCCAGUGUUGGAUCUCAUCCACUCUCUCUCAAUCGGGUCAGGAUGGGGAUCGAAUUUCAUUACUAUGGAAGAACUAUUGACCAACAAAGGAGGAUGAAAUUCAACAUGCUAUGACUCCUUGGCCACUAUGAAGGACUAACUCAAACCAUAAUUCCUAGUUCAUAGCUUUCCAGUUGGUGUGAUAAAAUUACCACCACUGGUUUUUCUGGACUUGUGCAGAAUUGCCAUUCACUAGAGACACUAAGAUGCAGGUUGACAGCAAGAGCAUCAUCCUGGGCAGCCGCAGUGUUUUCCUCAGCAGCAAUAGUAACGUUCCCACUUGUUUGACCUGCUCAAACAAGUGCACACAUUAACCGGACUAUUUUUCUUAAAUUAAAAAAUAAAUUGAUUUAUUGCAUGAGUAGGAUAUUUAAACCUUUUGCUUCAGCAAUGUGUCUUGUUAUUCCCUUUGAAUUACCUAUUAGUGAUAAUUUUAAUGGUUAGAGAUUCUUUAUAAUGGA